Molecule: ribosomal RNA, 305 nt
Filed under: uncultured bacterium
Lineage: Bacteria
Description: bacterial SSU rRNA
Rfam family: Bacterial small subunit ribosomal RNA
Source: RNAcentral
UUGACCUACGGGGCGCAGCAGUGGGGGAUAUUGCACAAUGGGGGGAACCCUGAUGCAGCGACGCCGCGUGGGUGAAGAAGCGCCUCGGCGCGUAAAGCCCUGUCAGCAGGGAAGAAAAUGACGGUACCUGAAGAAAAAGCAUCGGCUAACUCCGUGCCAGCAGCCGCGGUAAUACGGAGGAUGCGAGCGUUAUCCGGAUUUAUUGGGUUUAAAGGGUGCGUAGGCGGGCUGUUAAGUUAGCGGUAAAAGCCCGGGGCUCAACCCCGGCGAGCCGUUGAAACUGGCUGGCUUGGGAUGUCGAGGGG